AUUGAACGCUGGCGGCAUGCCUUACACAUGCAAGUCGAACGGCAGCACGGGAGCAAUCCUGGUGGCGAGUGGCGAACGGGUGAGUAAUAUAUCGGAACGUGCCCAGUCGUGGGGGAUGACGUAGCGAAAGCUACGCUAAUACCGCAUACGAUCUAUGGAUGAAAGCGGGGGAUCGCAAGACCUCGCGCGAUUGGAGCGGCCGAUAUCAGAUUAGGUAGUUGGUGAGGUAAAGGCACACCAAGCCGACGAUCUGUGGCUGGUCUGAGAGGACGACCAGCCACACUGGGACUGAGACACGGCCCAGACUCCUACGGGAGGCAGCAGUGGGGAAUUUUGGACAAUGGGCGCAAGCCUGAUCCAGCAAUGCCGCGUGCAGGAUGAAGGCCUUCGGGUUGUAAACUGCUUUUGUACGGAACGAAACGGCGAGCUCUAAUACAGUUUGCUAAUGACGGUACCGUAAGAAUAAGCACCGGCUAACUACGUGCCAGCAGCCGCAGUAA
Molecule: ribosomal RNA, 500 nt
Filed under: uncultured bacterium
Lineage: Bacteria
Description: partial 16S ribosomal RNA
Rfam family: Bacterial small subunit ribosomal RNA
Source: RNAcentral